Molecule: long non-coding RNA, 381 nt
Organism: Cebus imitator (Panamanian white-faced capuchin)
Lineage: Eukaryota; Metazoa; Chordata; Mammalia; Primates; Cebidae
Exons: 2
Source: RefSeq, a predicted model, not a curated record
CCAUACCAACCACCAUACCAACCACCAUACCAACCACCAUAUCCACCACAACCAAACCCAUACCCACCAUAUCUCUUUUAAUAUCAUCAGUAACUGCAGGACAUGAUUAUUGAGGUUUGACUGGCAAAUACAACUUCUACAUGCAUAUUCCCAUCCUUCAUACCAUACCACACUAUCACCACUUUUUGAAAAAUUAUCAAAGAGCAAUGCAAAUGAAAAGAAAGACUAUAAUUUACUGUAUACUCUUUGUUUCAGGAUACUUGCCUUUUAAGUUAUCAUUUGAUGAUAUAAUUGAAAUUUAAACUGUUAAGCUGUUUUCAGUUUUGUUUCUGAGUAAUAGAAAUCACUUCUCAAAAGCAAUAAAUUUCAAGCAUAUUCUUA